CAGGGGUUCUGCACACAGGAGUUUGGAAGAUCUGUGACAGGGCAAGACUAAAUAAUAGGUGUCGUUAUCAAAAUGAUGCAUGUCGAUAGAGACUGCCACCAUUGAAGAAAUGUUAGUGGACUAAUUACAAACACACAUCUUGUCAGCAUGGUUUUGGAAAUGUCAGCAUCUAACAGACUUUCCAGGGCAAAGGUGGAUUUGACCCAUGAAUAAAACAGAAGCAUUGUCUGACGGUGGCUGAAAGAAGAAAUUGGAAACCCAGCAGCAUCGAUAACAGCUGAGUAGGCUAAAUGGCUCACAUCCUUGAUUCCUGGAAUCCUGCUGUCAUCAGGAUUGCUAAUUCUGCCCUUGGAUCAUUUCCUUUGAAUCCAACUAAUUUCUGAUGAAUUUCUUUGGGUGCCCUUAUGAACUGGCUGCUCUCACUCGCGGCUCUCCCCUCUCCCUCUCCAUCUUUGGGAGGCUUGGCCCGACAAAGACAUUUCACUCACCGCUUCCCUCUUGGGUCUGCUUUCUCAAACGUCGCACACACAAGCGCCAACUCCGAGCACCACAUCCUUAAAGUGGUCCAAAGUUUAUUCAGGGGGAUAUUUCAAACCUCCUCAUCCAGCAAAAAGAAGACAA
Molecule: long non-coding RNA, 621 nt
Organism: Sphaerodactylus townsendi
Lineage: Eukaryota; Metazoa; Chordata; Lepidosauria; Squamata; Sphaerodactylidae
Exons: 3
Source: RefSeq, a predicted model, not a curated record